Molecule: long non-coding RNA, 630 nt
Organism: Lactuca sativa (garden lettuce)
Lineage: Eukaryota; Viridiplantae; Streptophyta; Magnoliopsida; Asterales; Asteraceae
Source: RefSeq, a predicted model, not a curated record
UAAUUAGCUAAUUAGGCGGCAUUUGCAAAUUAAUUUAGGCUUCUGACUUCUUGGUCUCCUAAACAUCACGUCUAAAAUACCAAGGAAGACGAGGCAUCUAAGCAUUGAAUUGGGGAAGAUGACUCAAAUAAGUUCUCUUUACUAUCAACUUUUAUACUUACGGAAGCUAUCGGAAAUCAGGCGGUUCUUUCCUUCCUUUUCAAAAAUCUUAUUGCGAAUUUGUAAUUGAAUCAGUCAUUUGUCUCAUAUUCUCUUGAAAAUCUGAUAGUUUUCUCCUAAAGUCAUCGACAUUUCUCGCAUAAAGUGAAUGGUAAAGUUUCAAAGUUUUGAACUGCCGAAGUUUUCUCCAAAAGCCUAUGGACAUGGAGCAUUUUGCAUUUGUUCAACAAAACAAGGAGCAAAACUUCUUAUUUCUAGAUUAGAUCCAACCUUUUCAGAUAUGAACAAUUUUUUUUCCAGUGUGCGGCGAAUAGCAACCAAAAGCCAACAGUUUGAUUAAAGAGCGAGAAAGAAAACACAAGUUUUGAACAAAAUUAUUUCAAGCAUUAUAGAUUUUUUUUGUGAAGUUCUAUGUAUAAGAUUAAAAAAUGUAUUUUAUUAAUUUCUUUUCAACUGUUUUCUUAGUUUUCA